RNAcentral lists this ribosomal RNA (109 nucleotides) under Pteropus alecto (black flying fox). Lineage: Eukaryota; Metazoa; Chordata; Mammalia; Chiroptera; Pteropodidae. The record is from RNAcentral.
AUUUAUGGCCAUACCACUCUGAGGCACCUAAUCUCUUCUGAUCUCAGAAGCUAAGCAGGGUAAGGCCCUGUGAGUACUUGGAUGGGAGAGAAUUGCUGGGUUAUAAACA